This 253-nucleotide ribosomal RNA is filed under the name uncultured bacterium. RNAcentral's name for it is "partial 16S ribosomal RNA". It matches the Rfam family "Bacterial small subunit ribosomal RNA", at positions 524 to 776 of the family's 1533-position model. The record is from RNAcentral.
UACAGAGGGUGCAAGCGUUAAUCGGAUUUACUGGGCGUAAAGGGCGCGUAGGUGGUUAUUUAAGUGAGAUGUGAAAGCCCCGGGCUCAACCUGGGAACUGCAUCUUAUACUGGGUAACUGGAGUACAUUAGAGGGUAGUGGAAUUUCCGGUGUAGCGGUGAAAUGCGUAGAUAUCGGAAGGAACACCAGUGGCGAAGGCGGCUACCUGGAAUGAUACUGACACUGAGGCGCGAGAGCGUGGGGAGCAAACAGG